CCCUUAGAUGUUCUGGGCCGCACGCGCGCUACACUGACGAAUGCAACGAGCUUAUAACCUUGGCCGAAAGGUCUGGGUAAUCUCCAAAUUUCGUCGUGAUGGGGAUAGAUUAUUGCAAUUAUUAAUCUUCAACGAGGAAUGCCUAGUAAGCGCAAGUCAUCAGCUUGCGUCGAUUACGUCCCUGCCCUUUGUACACACCGCCCGUCGCUCCUACCGAUUGAAUGGUCCGGUGAAGCGCUCGGACCGCGGCCUCUUGACGGUUCGCUGUCGAUUGGCUGUGGGAAGUUCGUUAAACCUUAUCAUUUAGAGGAAGGAGAAGUCGUAACA
This 327-nucleotide ribosomal RNA is filed under the name uncultured eukaryote. Its description in RNAcentral is "partial 18S ribosomal RNA". It matches the Rfam family "Eukaryotic small subunit ribosomal RNA", at positions 1470 to 1796 of the family's 1831-position model. The record is from RNAcentral.